RNAcentral lists this ribosomal RNA (971 nucleotides) under human gut metagenome. RNAcentral describes it as "bacterial LSU rRNA". It matches the Rfam family "Bacterial large subunit ribosomal RNA", at positions 1954 to 2925 of the family's 2925-position model. The record is from RNAcentral.
AGGUAGCGAAAUUCCUUGUCGGGUAAGUUCCGACCUGCACGAAUGGCGUAACGAUCUCCACACUGUCUCGGCCAGAGACUCGGUGAAAUUGCAGUCGCGGUGAAAAUUCCGUGUACCCGCAGAAAGACGGAAAGACCCUGUGCACCUUUACUAUAGCUUGACAUUGGAUUUUGGGCCUGCAUGUGUAGGAUAGGUGGGAGGCUGUGAACCCUGUACGCCAGUAUGGGGGGAGCCAUCGUUGAAAUACCACCCUUGCAUGUUUAAGAUCCUAACUUCUUCCGGUUAUCCCGGAGAAAGACAGUGUCUGGCGGGUAGUUUGACUGGGGCGGUCGCCUCCUAAAGUGUAACGGAGGCAUGCAAAGGUUCCCUCAGCCUGAUCGGAAACCAGGCGCUGAGUGCAAACGCAUAAGGGAGCUUGACUGUAAGAGAGACAUCUCGAACAGGAACGAAAGUUGGCGUUAGUGAUCCGGUGGUCCCGAAUGGAAGGGCCAUCGCUCAUUGGAUAAAAGGUACGCCGGGGAUAACAGGCUGAUCGCAUCCAAGAGUUCACAUCGACGAUGCGGUUUGGCACCUCGAUGUCGGCUCAUCACAUCCUGGGGCUGAAGCAGGUCCCAAGGGUACGGCUGUUCGCCGUUUAAAGUGGUACGCGAGCUGGGUUUAAAACGUCGUGAGACAGUUUGGUCCCUAUCUUCUGUGGGCGAAGGAGAAUUGAGAGGGCCUGUCCCUAGUACGAGAGGACCGGGAUGGACGCACCCCUGGUGAUCCUGUUGUCGCGCCAGCGGCACAGCAGGGUAGCUAUGUGCGGAAGGGAUAACCGCUGAAAGCAUCUAAGCGGGAAGCCUGCCUCAAGAUAAGUUCUCCCCUCGAAAGAGCUGAAGGGCCCGGGUAGACUACCCGGUCGAUAGGCUGGAGGUGUAAGCGCGGCGACGCGCUCAGCUGACCAGUACUAAUAGCCCGAGCGGCUUAUUUGU